CUACGGGCGGCUCCAGUGGGGAAUAUUGCACAAUGGAGGAAACUCUGAUGCAGCAACGCCGCGUGGAGGAUGACACUUUUCGGAGCGUAAACUCCUUUUAUAUAGGAAGAAGAUGACGGUACUAUAUGAAUAAGCGCCGGCUAACUCCGUGCCAGCAGCCGCGGUAAUACGGAGGGCGCAAGCGUUACUCGGAAUCACUGGGCGUAAAGAGCGUGUAGGCGGAUUAAAAAGUCAGAAGUGAAAUCCUAUAGCUUAACUAUAGAACUGCUUCUGAAACUCUUAAUCUAGAAUAUGGGAGAGGUAGAUGGAAUUUCUGGUGUAGGGGUAAAAUCCGUAGAGAUCAGAAGGAAUACCGAUUGCGAAGGCGAUCUACUAGAACAUUAUUGACGCUGAGACGCGAAAGCGUGGGGAGCAAACAGGAUUAGAUACCCGGGUAGUC
Molecule: ribosomal RNA, 439 nt
Filed under: uncultured bacterium
Lineage: Bacteria
Description: partial 16S ribosomal RNA
Rfam family: Bacterial small subunit ribosomal RNA
Source: RNAcentral